This 542-nucleotide ribosomal RNA is filed under the name Mucor sp. f104. RNAcentral describes it as "eukaryotic LSU rRNA". It matches the Rfam family "Eukaryotic large subunit ribosomal RNA", at positions 50 to 589 of the family's 3401-position model. RNAcentral also lists the same sequence under 1 other name. Lineage: Eukaryota; Fungi; Mucoromycota; Mucoromycetes; Mucorales; Mucoraceae. The record is from RNAcentral.
GCGGAGGAAAAGAAAAUAACAAUGAUUUCCCUAGUAACGGCGAGUGAAGAGGAAAGAGCUCAAAGUUGGAAACUGUUUGGCUUAGCUAAACCGUAUUGUAAACUGUAGAAACAUUUUCCUGGCACACCAGAUUAAUAAGUCCUUUGGAACAAGGCAUCAUGGAGGGUGAGAAUCCCGUCUUUGAUCUGAGUAGUUGUCUUUUGUGAUAUGUUUUCAAAGAGUCAGGUUGUUUGGGAAUGCAGCCUAAAUUGGGUGGUAAAUCUCACCUAAAGCUAAAUAUUUGCGAGAGACCGAUAGCGAACAAGUACCGUGAGGGAAAGAUGAAAAGAACUUUGAAAAGAGAGUUAAACAGUAUGUGAAAUUGUUAAAAGGGAACCGUUUGGAGCCAGACUGGUUUGACUGUAAUCAACCUAGAAUUCGUUUUGGGUGCACUUGCAGUCUAUACCUGCCAACAACAGUUUGAUUUGGAGGACAAAAUUAAUAGGAAUGUAGCCUCUCGAGGUGUUAUAGACUAUUAUCAUACUCUGGAUUGGACUGAGGAA